RNAcentral lists this ribosomal RNA (230 nucleotides) under uncultured bacterium. Its description in RNAcentral is "partial 16S ribosomal RNA". It matches the Rfam family "Bacterial small subunit ribosomal RNA", at positions 568 to 796 of the family's 1533-position model. The record is from RNAcentral.
CUCGUAGGCGGUUCAGUUAGUCGGGUGUGAAAACUCUGGGCUCAACCCAGAGACGCCACCCGAUACUGCUGUGACUUGAGUACGGUAGGGGAGUGGGGAAUUCCUGGUGUAGCGGUGAAAUGCGCAGAUAUCAGGAGGAACACCGGUGGCGAAGGCGCCACUCUGGGCCGUAACUGACGCUGAGGAGCGAAAGCAUGGGUAGCAAACAGGAUUAGAUACCCUGGUAGUCC